Patella vulgata (common limpet) is the source of this 760-nucleotide long non-coding RNA. RefSeq lists it as uncharacterized. The record is from RefSeq and is a predicted model, not a curated record. Lineage: Eukaryota; Metazoa; Mollusca; Gastropoda; Patellidae. The transcript has 5 exons.
GUUGCUUCGUGGCACUAAUGUUUCUUUAAAAGAUGUAAUGUUCUAAUUCUCGUCCUUCAAGUUACUGAGCUUACAGCGAUAACAUACAGGAUGGCUCUCUUAUUUGUGACUCUCGCUGCUUCUAUUCUGACUCUUGGAAAUUGCGGAAAUUUCACUAUCACACAAGAGGCUUCAGUUAGUAUUGAAAUUAAAAACUUUGAUGGCGAAGGAGAAGAUUUCAGAGGUAAAUUCACAAUAGGUCUUUUUGGAGACUCAGUACCAAUGACAGCACUUAACUUCGCUGGAAUUUGCAAAGGAUUCAAGAGAGGAAACAAAGGGCCUAAACUUCAUUACAAAAACACCUUCUGUCACCGAGUGGUAAAAGACAUGUUAGUCCAAUGUGGUGACGUCACCAUUGGUGAUGGAUCUGGCAGUAAAUCAAUCUUCGGAGAUAAAUUCAAUGACGAAAACUUCAUCGUCAGCCACAGCAGUGCUGGUAUUAUUUCUAUGGCUAAUCAUGGACAAGACACUAACGGAUCACAAUUCUUCAUCCUCUUCACUAGAGCUCGAUACCUCGACAACAAACACGUCGCUUUCGGCAAAGUUGUUAAAGGAUACGAUGUAGUAGAAGCUAUCAACGAUUUAGGUUCAGAAAAAGACGGUUUAACACCACGACGACCCAUCAAAAUCACCGACUGUGUUCUUGAAGAAGUUGAAAAAUACGAUCUAUCUAGAAAACAAAUGUUUACUGAUGAUUUAGAAAAAUAAACAGUUUAAUUAA